GGCAUCUCCACACUCCAGCCGCUGGUGAACUUGGUGCACACCCAGCCCAGAAUGUCUCAGCAGAAGCAGAAGCAGUGUGCUCCCCCCCAGCAGUGCUGCCCCCCGCCCCAGCAGUGCUGCCCCCCGCCUCAGCAGACCAAGCAGGCUUGCCAGCCUCCACCCAAGUGCAAGGAGCCCUGUGCCCCCAAGUGCCAGCCGAAGUGCCCACCCCCUCAGCAGUGCCAGAAGUCCAAGCAGAAGUAAGCCCCGGGCCUGUGACCAGAGGCCAAGCCCCCGGGGGGUCACAGCGCGUAGAGCCCCCUCCCCUCUCUAUGCAGCCGUGGGCCCCACUCACCACCGGCUUCCGCGUGCGGCCGCACUCCGGGGAAAGGCAGCACCCAGACGGCAGCUUCCUGGAUUGCUCCCUCUUGUUCAUCAGCAGCUGCAAUUCCCAUCUCAGACAAAGAUCUCAUUCUAAGCUACCUAAUUAUCUUUGCUGACGUGUAUCUACAUUACCCUGUUGACUUCUUGGAAACUUGGCCCUGUGCCUGGACACCCUUUCCUGUCAACCUUCAAUUCUGCUCCUGUUUUCCAAACAAUUAAACACAAUCCCUCUGG
This is a long non-coding RNA of Camelus dromedarius (Arabian camel), 597 nucleotides long. RefSeq lists it as uncharacterized. Lineage: Eukaryota; Metazoa; Chordata; Mammalia; Artiodactyla; Camelidae. The record is from RefSeq and is a predicted model, not a curated record. The transcript is spliced from 2 exons.